RNAcentral lists this ribosomal RNA (467 nucleotides) under uncultured bacterium. RNAcentral's name for it is "partial 16S ribosomal RNA". It matches the Rfam family "Bacterial small subunit ribosomal RNA", at positions 28 to 507 of the family's 1533-position model. The record is from RNAcentral.
GACGAACGCUGGCGGCGUGCUUAACACAUGCAAGUCGAACGGAAAGGCUCCAGCUUGCUGGAGUACUCGAGUGGCGAACGGGUGAGUAACACGUGGGUAAUCUGCCCUGCACUCUGGGAUAAGCCUGGGAAACUGGGUCUAAUACUGGAUAUGACCUUUCUCCUUAUGGGGUUUGGUGGAAAGUUUUUCGGUGUAGGAUGAGCCCGCGGCCUAUCAGCUUGUUGGUGGGGUGAUGGCCUACCAAGGCGACGACGGGUAGCCGGCCUGAGAGGGUGAUCGGCCACAUUGGGACUGAGAUACGGCCCAGACUCCUACGGGAGGCAGCAGUGGGGAAUAUUGCACAAUGGGCGGAAGCCUGAUGCAGCGACGCCGCGUGAGGGAUGACGGCCUUCGGGUUGUAAACCUCUUUCAGCAGGGACGAAGCGUAAGUGACGGUACCUGCAGAAGAAGCACCGGCUAACUGUGUG